Molecule: ribosomal RNA, 227 nt
Filed under: uncultured Caulobacter sp.
Lineage: Bacteria; Pseudomonadati; Pseudomonadota; Alphaproteobacteria; Caulobacterales; Caulobacteraceae
Description: partial 16S ribosomal RNA
Rfam family: Bacterial small subunit ribosomal RNA
Source: RNAcentral
CGGUAAUACGAAGGGGGCUAGCGUUGCUCGGAAUUACUGGGCGUAAAGGGAGCGUAGGCGGACUGUUAAGUUAGAGGUGAAAGCCCAGGGCUCAACCUUGGAAUUGCCUUUGAUACUGGCAGUCUUGAGUACGGAAGAGGUAUGUGGAACUCCGAGUGUAGAGGUGAAAUUCGUAGAUAUUCGGAAGAACACCAGUGGCGAAGGCGACAUACUGGUCCGUUACUGAC